RNAcentral lists this long non-coding RNA (324 nucleotides) under Olea europaea (common olive). RNAcentral describes it as "long non-coding RNA (OEUR_LNC001463)". Lineage: Eukaryota; Viridiplantae; Streptophyta; Magnoliopsida; Lamiales; Oleaceae. The record is from RNAcentral.
CUUUUGCGCACAUAAGCCUUGUGUUAAGAUGAAAGUGUAACACAUGUAGCUAGAUGAGUCUCUUGUUGAAGUUUCUUAUGUGAGAAUUGGUGAGGAUUGAGAGCCACAAUAUACUAAAAAUGUAAUAAGCGUUCAUUGAUUGUGUGAAUUGGGAACUUCUUUUGAGAAUAACAUUACACGGUAUGUGGUAAGAUGGUGGUUUAUACUUGGGAAAUGAUAACAGUCAAUUUAGGAUUGAAUUUGAGCCUUCAGACUAGUUCUUUUCCAUAAUUAUAAUCCCCUAGUAGCCACUUUGAGCUAAUACACAUACAUAACCAUUUCUUU